Mugil cephalus (flathead mullet) is the source of this 1968-nucleotide long non-coding RNA. RefSeq lists it as uncharacterized. The transcript has 3 exons. The record is from RefSeq and is a predicted model, not a curated record. NCBI's taxonomy places the organism in Eukaryota, Metazoa, Chordata, Actinopteri, Mugiliformes, Mugilidae.
UCAAGCUGCAUGAUGGCUGCCCUGGAUUGAUUUUUAUAUUCCUUUCUCCCCGUGAGUGUGUGAGUGUGUACUCCACAAUUUUUAUUUUUAUAUAUAUAUAUAUAUAUAAAAUAAUGUUUGGACUGAAAUUGCUGCUUUUCACAGAAGAGAGAGAAUCUCAACCUGCACUGAUUCUGAUCUGCUCUGAUGUGAAUCGGUGUUGGGAGCGUUGCCCGGCUCAUAGAACAUUUAAAAGGGAGGAAAAAACAACAACACAAGCGUGUAGUAGUAAUUCAUACGAGUGUCAUGCAGCCAUAUGCCCGGGCCAGAUUGGUGGUGUAUUUUGGACAGCUGAGCUCUGAUGAUUCACUGCUGGGCCUUGUAUAGACCAAAGCUAAGUGUACAUUUUGCCUCGGGCUACUCCGCUUGCCUCCACAGAUACACUUAGCUGUAAAAAGAAAAAAGAAAAAGGAAAAAAUCCACUCGUUUUGCAUUUUAAAAACCCCUCAUCUGUCUCGCUUAUUCACCCUCGACUUCGCUGCUUUACCUGCUCCUGCUCAUCCUCUGGUGCGUGCGCGCAAGGCUUUCGCUUGUCAAAUCAUCUCGACUUUGUUUUAAGAACAUCAAAUCAAACCCGGCGUGUGCUUUUCAGAAACGGAGGGCUUACAAUAUGGAAAAAAUAUAUAUAUAUAUAUAUAUAUAAUAUAAAAAAUAAAAAGAAAGAGGCAGAGCAUGGAACAUCGGCGGCAGAAUGAAGACGUAAGGGGAAAAAAAAGAUCACGCUUUAAUGCACAAAGUAAGAGUGAUAGAGCAUGACAGAACACGUCGGAGGCCAGUGAAUGAAAAUAGGUUUGAGGUUUGGUGGCAACUGAGGAUUUGAGGAGUACAUUUUCCAUGUUGGAGUCUGAUGGAGAACAGAUCAGAGCCUGGAAUAAAAAAUAUAUAUUUAAGAAAGAGAGAGAAAAAAAAAGGAAAUUACUUCUCACUGGUGUUUCUUUAUUUAUUUUAUUUAUCGGAUGAAUGGAGGCCAGGUGUAGCCUGCAGGUAUAAACCUUAUCUUCAAUCAGUUUAAACACACUUUCACUGUUUUUGGUUCAUUUAGCUGGAUUAUUAAACACUUUUAGGGAAAAAAACAAAUGCAUCCACAGGUAAAGCACAGGUGUAUCAUCCUAGUUCACUGUAAAAGGAACUGAUCCUUAUUUAGUUCUCAUUUAUUAAUUAAUUUAUUUGAUGGUGACGAACAUGAGGAGGAGGAGGGAGUUAAAGGUGAGAGCUAACAACAGCUAACAACAGCGGCUAAUGGCAGCUGUUAGGCCGCAUCCACGAAAUUCAUAAAAAAAUGAACAAUAUAUAAAUAAAAAAGUACUGAUGCUAGUGAAAUUGAGUUCACAACAGUGAAUUAAACAUAAUCUAUAUGCUUAAAUACAUUUUAAUUGGUUAUAUGUUUUAUUUUAUUUAACACAGAUGCGGCUAGCUAACUAGCUGGCUAACUAGCCUGAGAGGCUAAGCUAACUGGAACCAGCGGCAGUGAUUAGGCCUCAGCCAGCGAGGCCUCUCAGGCCUCUCUCGAUGCUAGCGCUCCACCUCAAGGUUAUAUUUAGCCUGUGACAAAUAUUUACGCCCCAGAGCAGAAACACACCUGGAGAGGAAGACGGCCGGUAAAUAAACGUGACAGGAAAGAAUGCAGGCAGUUUGCAAACAUCCUCUGCAGAAGAAGAAGAAGAAGUCAGAUGGAGAAAGCCAGUGUGAACUCAAGAACACCCAACAACAAGUAGGUAACAAAUAAAAGUGACGCCUCUGAUGAAGGGUUCUUUAUAGGCGCGGGACUAUGACAAUAUUUGCCCCUGAAAGGAACUUUUUUAUUAAUUUAAAUGGAUUUUAGUGGACGACUGAAUCAAAUAAUGGACGCACACAUCUUUUAAUGUUUAAUGGAAAAACGCUUUUAAUAGCAUUUCAUCUCAAAACAGCUGAAAAAGAAAUAAAAAAAUA